GGGAACCUCACCCGGCCCGGACACUGCGAGGAUUGACAGACUGAGAGCUCUUUCUCGAUUCGGUGGGUGGUGGUGCAUGGCCGUUCUUAGUUGGUGGAGCGAUCUGUCUGGUUAAUUCCGAUAACGAACGAGACCCCAACCUGCUAACUAGCCCUCGGGUCCUGCUUCUGUUGGGCCCGACGGAAUGAUUCGCUUCUUAGAGGGACUCGCGGCGCCUAGCCGCACGAAGGGGGGCGAUAA
Molecule: ribosomal RNA, 240 nt
Filed under: uncultured eukaryote
Lineage: Eukaryota
Description: partial 18S ribosomal RNA
Rfam family: Eukaryotic small subunit ribosomal RNA
Source: RNAcentral